RNAcentral lists this ribosomal RNA (512 nucleotides) under Acinetobacter johnsonii. Its description in RNAcentral is "bacterial SSU rRNA". It matches the Rfam family "Bacterial small subunit ribosomal RNA", at positions 199 to 702 of the family's 1533-position model. Lineage: Bacteria; Pseudomonadati; Pseudomonadota; Gammaproteobacteria; Moraxellales; Moraxellaceae. The record is from RNAcentral.
GGGAUCUUCGGACCUUGCGCUAAUAGAUGAGCCUAAGUCAGAUUAGCUAGUUGGUGGGGUAAAGGCCUACCAAGGCGACGAUCUGUAGCGGGUCUGAGAGGAUGAUCCGCCACACUGGGACUGAGACACGGCCCAGACUCCUACGGGAGGCAGCAGUGGGGAAUAUUGGACAAUGGGCGAAAGCCUGAUCCAGCCAUGCCGCGUGUGUGAAGAAGGCCUUUUGGUUGUAAAGCACUUUAAGCGAGGAGGAGGCUACUGAGAUUAAUACUCUUGGAUAGUGGACGUUACUCGCAGAAUAAGCACCGGCUAACUCUGUGCCAGCAGCCGCGGUAAUACAGAGGGUGCGAGCGUUAAUCGGAUUUACUGGGCGUAAAGCGUGCGUAGGCGGCUUUUUAAGUCGGAUGUGAAAUCCCUGAGCUUAACUUAGGAAUUGCAUUCGAUACUGGGAAGCUAGAGUAUGGGAGAGGAUGGUAGAAUUCCAGGUGUAGCGGUGAAAUGCGUAGAGAUCUGGA